Molecule: RNase P RNA, 335 nt
Filed under: Deltaproteobacteria bacterium HGW-Deltaproteobacteria-6
Lineage: Bacteria; Deltaproteobacteria
Description: RNase P RNA component class A
Rfam family: Bacterial RNase P class A
About the family: Ribonuclease P (RNase P) is a ubiquitous endoribonuclease, found in archaea, bacteria and eukarya as well as chloroplasts and mitochondria.
Source: RNAcentral
GGAGAAGAUCAGAUGAUCGCUGGCAGAUUUUGUCUGCCGGAGGAAAGUCCGAGCUCCACAGGGCAGGAUGGUCGCUAACGGCGACUGGGGGCGACCCCAAGGAAAGUGCCACAGAAAAUAUACCGCCCGAGGCGUUUAGCCCAGGGUAAGGGUGAAAUGGCGAGGUAAGAGCUCACCGCUUUUCCGGUGACGGAAAAGGCAUGGUAAACCCCAUCCGGAGCAAGACCAAAUAGGAGAACGUUCGGCGGGCAACUGCCGUCCCAGAUGAAUGAUCAUUGCCGUGUCGAGGGUAACCGAAACGCGGAACAGAACUCGGCUUAUGAUCUUCUCUUGUG